GAUGAACGCUAGCGGCAGGCUUAAUACAUGCAAGUCAAGGGGGUAGCAAUACUACCGGCGCACGGGUGAGUAACACGUACAUAACAUACCAUAUACUGGGGUAUAGCUUUGGGAAACUGAAGGUAAUCCCCCAUAACAUUGCGAGAGGGCAUCUGAUUGCAAUUAAAGUUUCGACGGUAUAUGAUUGAUGUGCGUUUGAUUAGCUUGUUGGUAGGGUAACGGCCUACCAAGGCGACGAUCAAUAGCUGGCGUGAGAGCGCGACCAGCCACACUGGAACUGAGACACGGUCCAGACUCCUACGGGAGGCAGCAGUAGGGAAUAUUGGACAAUGGGCGAAAGCCCGAUCCAGCCAUGCCGCGUGAUAGAUGAAGGCCCUCUGGGUUGUAAACUUCUUUUGGAUGGGGCGAAAAACGGGAUUUAUCCUGGACUGACGGUACCAUCAGAAUAAGCACCGGCUAACUCCGUGCCAGCAGCCGCGGUAAAGUAG
RNAcentral lists this ribosomal RNA (488 nucleotides) under uncultured bacterium. RNAcentral's name for it is "bacterial SSU rRNA". It matches the Rfam family "Bacterial small subunit ribosomal RNA", at positions 28 to 528 of the family's 1533-position model. The record is from RNAcentral.